UACGGAGGGUGCAAGCGUUAAUCGGAAUUACUGGGCGUAAAGCGCAUGGAGGUGGUUAACUAAGUCAGCUGUGAAAUCCCCGGGCUCAACCUGGGCACUGCAGUUGAAACUGGUUAGCUAGAGUAGGGUAGAGGGGUGUGGAAUUCCAGGUGUAGCGGUGAAAUGCGUAGAUAUCUGGAGGAACACCGGUGGCGAAGGCGGCAUCCUGGACCAAUACUGACACUGAGGAGCGAAAGCCAGGGGAGCAAACGGG
This 253-nucleotide ribosomal RNA is filed under the name uncultured prokaryote. Its description in RNAcentral is "partial 16S ribosomal RNA". It matches the Rfam family "Bacterial small subunit ribosomal RNA", at positions 524 to 776 of the family's 1533-position model. The record is from RNAcentral.